RNAcentral lists this long non-coding RNA (2470 nucleotides) under Equus caballus (horse). Its description in RNAcentral is "lncRNA (ENSECAG00000054802.1)". Lineage: Eukaryota; Metazoa; Chordata; Mammalia; Perissodactyla; Equidae. The record is from RNAcentral.
UCUUUGAGGCCUUUUUUGACUUAGCAACAGGGUCAAAAUAUCUAUGACAUCCAAUGCAUGAGAGGAGAGUGUGACCUAAAACGCUUGCUUACAGCUCCCAAGGAUCUCUUGAAUUGGACUUUUCUAGCUUGGCAGUUCAGGGCAUACUGACAGAGUCUCUCUGUCAUGGAAAGAAAUAAGUCCCUGCUGAAUGAAAUUUGACAGUAGGUGGUAAUUCCUUUGUCACUUGCUCCCAUGUUUUGUUGAAUUCUUGUAUAACACUCCCCCUGGGCUUUAACAUCAGGCAUAACACCUCCCUUGGUGUCUUUGCCUUCAUUUGUGAUACUACCCCUGGCAUCUCUGACUUCAUGUUUAACACUCCACCAGUCGUCUCUGACUUCAUUUGCCACUCUACCUCUGGUUUCUUUGCCUUCCUUUGUAACAGUCCCCUGGGUGUGUGUCUUCAUGUGUCACAUUCCCCCUGGCAUCUCAGAGUCUGUGUGUAGUAUUCACCAUUGUAUCUCUGACUUCCAGGAUAACACUCCCCCUGGGUCUUUCACUUCGUGGAACUCUCCUCUGUGGCUUCUCUGGCUUAGUGUUUAACAGUCCCCCUGUUGUCUCUGACUUUAUGUGACACUCUUCUCACGGUGUCUCAGGCUUCAUGCAUCACACUCACCCUGGCUUCUCUAACUUCAUUCAUAACUCUCCCACUGGUGACUCUGGGUUCGUGUGUAACACUCCAUGUGCCCUCUCUGGAAUCAUGUGUAACACUGCCCUGUUAUCUAUGAAUUUGUGUGAAACAAUCCGAGUGACUUCACUGACGUUGUGUGUCACACUCCCCUGUUGUCUUUGUUUCACGUGUUUCUCUCCCUGUGGUAUCUUUGUCUUCUUUUGUCACACUCCACCUGGCAUCUCUAAAUUCGUGUAUCACACCCCCCUGAUAUAUUUGACUUCAUGUCUAACACACCUGGUGGAGUCUCUGACUUCCUGUGUUACACACCCCAUAGUGUACCUGAGUUUGUGCAUCACACUCCCUUUGCCGUCUAUAACUUCAGGUGUCAAACUGCCCCUGGCUUCUGGCUUCUCUGACUUCAUCUGUCACACUACACGUGGUGUCUCUGACUUCCUGUGUAACACUCCCCUGGCAUCUCUGACUUCUCGUGUAGCACUCUGCCUGCCAUCUGUGAUGUCCUGUAUCACCCUCCCUGUGGCAUCUUUGAAUUCAUGUGUAACACUCACCCUGUCAUCUCUGACCUUGUGAGUAACACUUACAAUUGUGUCUCUGACUUUAUGUGUAAAACACCCUGUGGCAUCUCUGACUUCAUUUGUAACACUCCCCCUGGCAUCUCUGACUUCGUUUUGCACACUCCCCCCUGACUUCUCUGGCUUAGUGUGUAUCAGUCUCCCUGUUGUUCUGACUUUGUGUGAUACUCUCCCCCUAGUGUCUCUGACUUUGUGCAUCAAACUCUCCCUGGUGUCCCUAAAUUCAUUUUUAACACUCACACUGGCAUCUCUGAGUUCCUGUGAAACUCUCCACAUGGCCUCUCUGACUUCGUGUGUCACACGUCCCUUGUCAUCAUUGACUCAUGUCUCACUCUCCCCCUGAUAUCUUUGAUUUCAUGUGUCACACUUCCCCUGGUGUCUAUGACUUCAUUUCUAACACUCGCCCUGGUGACUCAGAAAUCAUGUCUAACAGUUACUGUGGUGUAUCUGACUUCAUGUGUCACAUUCAGCCUGGCAUCACUAACUGCAUGUAUCACCUUCCCUCUGGUGUUUAUGACCUCGGGUGUAACAAACCCGAUGGUGUCUCUGACUUCUUUUGUAACACUCCCCCUUUUGACUCUGAGUUCAUGCAUCUCACUCCCUCUGCCACUAUACCUUCAUGUGUAACACUCCCACUGGCUUCUCUGAUUUCGUGUAUAACACUCCCCCUGGCAUCUAUGACCUUGUGUCUAACAUUCCCUGUGGUGUCUGAAUUCAAGGUUCACACUCAAUGUGUCAUCUUGCACUUUGUGAGUAACACUCCCCCUGGUGUCUCUGACUUCAUGUGUAACACUCCACAUGGCCCUUCAGACUUCGUGUGGUACACACCCUCAUUCUCCCUGACUUCAUUUGUAACAGUCUUCUAGGCCUUUUUGCCUUUGAGUGUAACAGUACCCCAUGGAGUCUCGGACAUCUUGUGUAACACACUGACGUCUCAGAUUUCGUGAGUAACACUCGCUGGGCCAGCUCUGACAUCAUGGAUAACACACUCAGUGGCAUCACUUGCUUCAUGUGUCAUGGAACCCCUUGUGUCUCUGUGAUCUUGCAUCACACUCCCCAUGUAAUCUCUGGCAUCAUUUGGCACACUGCACCUUGCAUCUCUGACUACGUGUGUCAAAUCUCCCCUGGCAUCGUGGACAUUGUGUGUAACACAUCAUGUGGCAUUUUUGACUCCUUGUGUAACACUCCCUCUGGUGUCUCUGACUUCGUGUGUAAAACUCAGCAUGGC